GCGGCGUUAGCCUAGUGGUAAGGCCCCGGGUUGUGGACCCGGUCAGAAGAGUUCGAUUCUCUUACGCCGCC
RNAcentral lists this transfer RNA (71 nucleotides) under Chloroflexota bacterium. Its description in RNAcentral is "Chloroflexi bacterium tRNA-His". It matches the Rfam family "tRNA". Rfam says of the family: Transfer RNA (tRNA) molecules are approximately 80 nucleotides in length. Their secondary structure includes four short double-helical elements and three loops (D, anti-codon, and T loops). The record is from RNAcentral. Lineage: Bacteria; Bacillati; Chloroflexota.